RNAcentral lists this ribosomal RNA (495 nucleotides) under uncultured bacterium. RNAcentral's name for it is "bacterial SSU rRNA". It matches the Rfam family "Bacterial small subunit ribosomal RNA", at positions 16 to 507 of the family's 1533-position model. The record is from RNAcentral.
AUCAUGGCUCAGAUUGAACGCUGGCGGCAGGCCUAACACAUGCAAGUCGAGCGGAUGACAGGAGCUUGCUCCUGAAUUCAGCGGCGGACGGGUGAGUAAUGCCUAGGAAUCUGCCUGGUAGUGGGGGACAACGUUUCGAAAGGAACGCUAAUACCGCAUACGUCCUACGGGAGAAAGCAGGGGACCUUCGGGCCUUGCGCUAUCAGAUGAGCCUAGGUCGGAUUAGCUAGUUGGUGAGGUAAUGGCUCACCAAGGCGACGAUCCGUAACUGGUCUGAGAGGAUGAUCAGUCACACUGGAACUGAGACACGGUCCAGACUCCUACGGGAGGCAGCAGUGGGGAAUAUUGGACAAUGGGCGAAAGCCUGAUCCAGCCAUGCCGCGUGUGUGAAGAAGGUCUUCGGAUUGUAAAGCACUUUAAGUUGGGAGGAAGGGCAUUAACCUAAUACGUUAGUGUUUGACGUUACCGACAGAAUAAGCACCGGCUAACUCUGUG